CCUGUUCUGCCCUCCCUUCCAG
Molecule: microRNA, 22 nt
Filed under: Mus musculus (house mouse)
Lineage: Eukaryota; Metazoa; Chordata; Mammalia; Rodentia; Muridae
Description: mmu-miR-7039-3p
Source: miRBase by way of RNAcentral